Molecule: long non-coding RNA, 559 nt
Filed under: Mus spicilegus (steppe mouse)
Lineage: Eukaryota; Metazoa; Chordata; Mammalia; Rodentia; Muridae
Description: lncRNA (ENSMSIG00000009324.1)
Source: RNAcentral
CUACAAAUGUCCUUUGACUGGGGAGGUCUACCUUAAACAGCCCUCCUCCUCGCAAGGACAAGAUAGCCACUCCUUACUCUACCUCACUUGCCUUUACAAACGGACCCACUCGUUCCUUCCCACCCCUCCUCAUCCGCAACCUGCAGGAGGUGAGAGACUCAGAGUGUGGUGUACAUGGAUCUAUAGGGACAUCUGUGUGGCCCAUGGCUUCUGGAGGAGGUCGGGCAGAAGCUCAGUUUGAAGCUGACCACCAGGAGGGGAGGGGUGAUGAGCACCAAGCUGACAAAGAUCUGAGCCCUGCACACAGCCCACUGCACAUCCAGAUCUUCCUCAGUGGAGCAGUGGUGACUGCCAGCUCCCUGAGGCCUUCCUGGCCAAGCUUGCCUCUGCUCUAACUCAGCAGCGACACAGGAGUUGGGUCCAUAUAAGGUGCUGAUGUAACAACGUACUCUGCCAGAAAAACCUCUAAGCUCAGAAAAGGUUCUUCACGUUGACCAUUCUGCAACCAUUUUGAUUUUUGUGUUCUCGAAACCUGACUUUUAAAAGGAGCUUCUUAGUU